AACGAACGCUGGCGGCGUGCCUAACACAUGCAAGUCGUACGAGAAACACGUCCUUCGGGAUGUGGAGUAAAGUGGCGCACGGGUGAGUAACACGUGGGUAACCUGCCUCGAGGUUCGGGAUAACUCCGCGAAAGCGGGGCUAAUACCGGAUAAGACCACAUGAGCUUCGGCUCAAGGGGUCAAAGUCGGCCUAUCGAAGAAGCCGGCGCCUGGAGAUGGGCUCGCGGACCAUUAGCUUGUUGGUAGGGUAACGGCCUACCAAGGCUAAGAUGGUUAGCUGGUCUGAGAGGAUGAUCAGCCACACUGGAACUGAGAUACGGUCCAGACUCCUACGGGAGGCAGCAGUGAGGAAUAUUGCGCAAUGGGGGAAACCCUGACGCAGCAACGCCGCGUGGGUGAAGAAGGCUUUCGGGUUGUAAAGCCCUGUCAGGUGGGAAGAAACCUCUGCAAGUGAAUAGUUUGCGGAACUGACGGUACCACCAAAGGAAGCACCGGCUAACUCCGUGCCAGCCGCCGCGGUAA
Molecule: ribosomal RNA, 522 nt
Filed under: uncultured bacterium
Lineage: Bacteria
Description: partial 16S ribosomal RNA
Rfam family: Bacterial small subunit ribosomal RNA
Source: RNAcentral